RNAcentral lists this transfer RNA (58 nucleotides) under Platycis sp. UPOL A00547. Its description in RNAcentral is "partial tRNA-Ser". RNAcentral also lists the same sequence under 1 other name. Lineage: Eukaryota; Metazoa; Arthropoda; Insecta; Coleoptera; Lycidae. The record is from RNAcentral.
AUAAACAAUUAUUUAUGCUUUUUUUAAAAAGUUAGAAGCUUUUUUAAGGUAUUUCUUU